This 272-nucleotide ribosomal RNA is filed under the name Escherichia coli. Its description in RNAcentral is "partial 16S ribosomal RNA". It matches the Rfam family "Bacterial small subunit ribosomal RNA", at positions 1 to 269 of the family's 1533-position model. The record is from RNAcentral. Lineage: Bacteria; Pseudomonadati; Pseudomonadota; Gammaproteobacteria; Enterobacterales; Enterobacteriaceae.
AAAUUGAAGAGUUUGAUCAUGGCUCAGAUUGAACGCUGGCGGCAGGCCUAACACAUGCAAGUCGAACGGUAACAGGAAGAAGCUUGCUUCUUUGCUGACGAGUGGCGGACGGGUGAGUAAUGUCUGGGAAACUGCCUGAUGGAGGGGGAUAACUACUGGAAACGGUAGCUAAUACCGCAUAACGUCGCAAGACCAAAGAGGGGGACCUUCGGGCCUCUUGCCAUCGGAUGUGCCCAGAUGGGAUUAGCUUGUUGGUGGGGUAAUGGCUCACC